This 62-nucleotide non-coding RNA is filed under the name Cryptomonas paramaecium. Lineage: Eukaryota; Cryptophyceae; Cryptomonadales; Cryptomonadaceae. The record is from RNAcentral.
AAAUCAAUAUUUUUAUAUAUGUAUAUAUGUUACGAGGUGAUAUUUGUACAUGUAUAUUAAUG